GCCGAAGUGGUGGAAUUGGUAGACACAGGGGACUUAAAAUCCCCCGGCCUUAAAAGCUGUGCCGGUUCGAUUCCGGUCUUCGGCA
Molecule: transfer RNA, 85 nt
Filed under: Spirochaetales bacterium
Lineage: Bacteria; Pseudomonadati; Spirochaetota; Spirochaetia; Spirochaetales
Description: tRNA-Leu
Rfam family: tRNA
About the family: Transfer RNA (tRNA) molecules are approximately 80 nucleotides in length.
Source: RNAcentral